CAAUAGCGUAUAUUAAAGUUGUUGCGGUUAAAAAGCUCGUAGUUGGAUUUCUGCCGAGGACGACCGGUCCGCCCUCUGGGUGAGUAUCUGGCUCGGCCUGGGCAUCUUCUUGGAGAACGUAGCUGCACUUGACUGUGUGGUGCGGUAUCCAGGACUUUUACUUUGAGGAAAUUAGAGUGUUUCAAGCAGGCUUACGCCUUGAAUACAUUAGCAUGGAAUAAUAAGAUAGGACCUCGGUUCUAUUUUGUUGGUUUCUAGAGCUGAGGUAAUGAUUAAUAGGGAUAGUUGGGGGCAUUCGUAUUUAACUGUCAGAGGUGAAAUUCUUGGAUUUGUUAAAGACGGACCACUGCGAAAGCAUUUGCCAAGGAUGUUUUCAUUGA
Molecule: ribosomal RNA, 380 nt
Filed under: uncultured eukaryote
Lineage: Eukaryota
Description: partial 18S ribosomal RNA
Rfam family: Eukaryotic small subunit ribosomal RNA
Source: RNAcentral